Molecule: long non-coding RNA, 753 nt
Filed under: Equus asinus (donkey)
Lineage: Eukaryota; Metazoa; Chordata; Mammalia; Perissodactyla; Equidae
Description: lncRNA (ENSEASG00005029676.1)
Source: RNAcentral
AGGACCACGGAAUAAUGAGACACACUGCCCUAGAGCAAGGGGCCAGGGCACUGAUGCGAAGUGGCUCAGCUGGAAAGGGUAAAUGGUGAUGACAGCAAGACUGCAUAAAGCAGAAGAUGAGGGGGAAAACCGGCUCAGCCGUGACUUGGGGCAUCCACAGAUCGAACUAUUGAGGAAUCUAGACAGAGGGCAGCACUCAGGAGCCCGGCUGUGGGAGUUGAUCCCAGGAGAGCUCGUGAACUGGAACGAGUCCAAGCCUGCAGCUGGACCCACGACUACAUCAGAUGCUGAGAGCAGAGGAGAAAGCAAAGGAGCUAUUUGGCAGCUAAGGACAUUCUUCUGCAUGCUGCACUGCUGGUGGAAAAUAUGGAAGAGAUGCCCAUGACUGUCAGCUAUGGCCUUAAGACCCCGGAGAUUCAGUUCUCUGAUGAGAAGUCGCUUUGAGUCUGUGAAACGUUACACCAGGCAUCUGCUGAAUUUGAAGGGAGUAGCAAGUGGUGACAGAAUAACCAGUUGUCAGUGAUCUGUAUCAGUUGUGCAAAUGCCAGAAAAAUAAUUUCAAGUUUUACAGAAAACCUACAGACCAAGGAAAGCCAUUAUCAGACACCAGAUAAUAUGAGCUACAUUUUAUGGAUAAUUCUAAUGAUCACUUGGCUGCUGUGAGAAUAUACUGAAGUGAACAAGGGCAGAAGCAGCUGACCAGCCGGGAGGCUAUUGCCAUAAUCCAGGCAGAGAUGAAGCUGGCUUGGAUCA